GCUUUGAAAGAUUUAAGCAGUUACUUAAUACAAACCCAUUUGCAAAGACCACACUGCCCUGAUUCAUAGUCUUUCUUUGUCAUACUCAACACCUGGCUUCCUAAUUUUGUUCCUUGGAUUCUCUCUGCUGUACUAAGCUCUACUUAAUUUUUUCCUUUUCUUUUUGAUUCCUAAAAUAGAAACCAACACCAAAAAAAAAAAAAAAAAGAGAGAGAGAGAGAGAGAAAAAUUGCUGUUUUGAAUGUGUGAGUUUUUCAGUUUUAGGUAAGAGAAACCCAAGUAGGAGAAGGAGACAGAGAAGACACAAGGGAGAUGUUUAUUGACUAAUAGAACCUAAAAGGUCAGGUCUGGAUCUAAAUGCUCAAUAAGUGUCAGGAACCUCUCCUUUCUACACUCUUCCCUUUUCUUUCUUGGCUAUGUUUAUUCAGAAAGGAUCUUUGCAAGUAAUACCAAGCUAUGGUCCCGUAGCUUUAGGCUUACACUCUUGACUAACUGCAGUGGUAAAAGAACACCCAUUUGACUAGAGGUUCCUAGAAUAGGUUCUGAUUUCCCUGGCUUAAAGGGUGUGUCUUUUUAUUUUUUUAUUUUUUUGUAAGAUUUGUUUAUGUAUAUGAGUAUACUGUCACUGUCUUCAAACACACCAGAAGAGGGCAUCAGACCCCAUUACAGAUGGUUAUAAGACACCAUGUGGUUGCUGGGAAUUGAGCUCUUAACCACUGAGCCAUUUCUCCAGCCCACAUCUACCUCUUUUUUGAAACAAAUACUUUUGCUAGUGAGUGGAAUCCUCUUACAAAUUCAUAUAUCUGAAUUGAAGAAUAGGCCCAACACCCCAAACCACAAAACUGUCAUUAUAGCUUCUAAAGAAAAUCCAGGUGAGGAAAGAGUGUUGGCCAGAAAUGAUCUGUGUCACUUUUGUCACAGAGAUUCUGUAAGUUACCAUAGAACUCGAAGCAUUAUGUAUUCCAAACUUCAGAGGUUCUUCAUAAAGGGGAAAAACUGAAUUAAGAGAAGUUAUGGCUUCAUUCAGAUCGCAUAGCAUUCCUGUUUUCAGGUCACCUGAGUCAGAUUCAUUUAGGUCCUGUACUGCAUUUGAGCAAGAUAAACAUGUAUAGUCCUACUUGUUUCUUAUUAAAGUAGAGGCAGCAGGGCUGGCCUCAGUGUGCGUGGGACCCAGCAGUUGGCAGGUAGAGUUAGGAGGAUCAAGAGUCAAAGCCACCAUCAGAUCCUGCAGUGUGUUUGAGGCCAGCUCUCCCCUGGGGGGAAAUUGAGGUUGUAAUGGUUGGCUGUGGUGUCACAGAGGCCUAUAAUCUCCACUGUUGGAGCCUGAAGCAAUAGAAUACCUAUUUUGAGACCAUUCUGGGGUACAUAAUGAGACCCUGUCUUAAAACAUAAGAUAUGUGAUAAUAUAUACCUUGUAAUUUUAUGGGAAUAAUAGAAAUAUGUUUUGAAUAUUAGAAAAUAUCUACAAUAACUACUAUUGUCAUAGUAUUAGUAACCACAUUCUUUUGUUUAUUGAAUUACUGCCUUGUUUAUUGUGGUCAUUCAGAAUGUAGGUUUUUCCUCUUCAAGCAAAUACUUUUUAGGUUGAAACUUUUAUUUAUGAGUUUAGACUUGGAAAAUAUUUUCCAGUUUAUUAAGAAAGUUUGCUCAAAUAGAAAAUUACUUCUUUAAGGACUCUAAGUUGUGAAUUUACCUUCUAGAAGAUCAUCUAGAAUCUGAAUGCAUAGAGGAUGAACAUACAUUAUAUAUACAUAUAUAUAUACACACACACACUGUGUUGUUCCGUGCUAAUCCCGUAUAGUAGUCUUAUGACAGUAGUAUAGAUCUCAAAGAUGUAUGUCCUCCAUAUAAGUCUGUUUUUCAAAGAGCCAGCCAGGCAUGGUGGAACACACCUUAAAUCCCGAGCACUUGGGAAGUAUGAGUUUCAAGACACAAAGAAACUCUUAUCUUGAAAACCAAAAAGAGAAAAAGUAAUUAGCAUCAAGUAGCCAAGGCUUAUAAAAGAAGAAUUAAUGAAAAAUACACUAGGAAAAUGUAAAAUUCCAAGGCAGGCUUUUCUUAUCGGAAUAGCAUUAUAAUAAAAACCAUAAAACUGAUCAAAGAUGUCAUUUUACACUCACACAGGAGACACUUCAUACGGACACUGAGCUGUUACGAACGUCUGUGCCAAAAGGAGUCAACUUUGUUAAGCAAAUGCU
RNAcentral lists this long non-coding RNA (2198 nucleotides) under Mus musculus (house mouse). RNAcentral's name for it is "long non-coding RNA chr19:32806596-32808794". The record is from RNAcentral. Lineage: Eukaryota; Metazoa; Chordata; Mammalia; Rodentia; Muridae.